GGGUUGUGAGGUUAAGCGACUAAGCGUACACGGUGGAUGCCCUGGCAGUCAGAGGCGAUGAAGGGCGUGCUAAUCUGCGAUAAGCGCCGGUAAGGUGAUAUGAACCGUUAUAACCGGCGAUACCCGAAUGGGGAAACCCAGUGUGACUCGUCACACUAUCAUUAACUGAAUCCAUAGGUUAAUGAGGCGAACCGGGGGAACUGAAACAUCUAAGUACCCCGAGGAAAAGAAAUCAACCGAGAUUCCCCCAGUAGCGGCGAGCGAACGGGGAGGAGCCCAGAGCCUGAAUCAGCAUGUGUGUUAGUGGAAGCGUCUGGAAAGGCGCGCGAUACAGGGUGACAGCCCCGUACACAAAAGCGCAUGUGCUGUGAGCUCGAUGAGUAGGGCGGGACACGUGGUAUCCUGUCUGAAUAUGGGGGGACCAUCCUCCAAGGCUAAAUACUCCUGACUGACCGAUAGUGAACCAGUACCGUGAGGGAAAGGCGAAAAGAACCCCGGCGAGGGGAGUGAAAAAGAACCUGAAACCGUGUACGUACAAGCAGUGGGAGCACAGGUUUACCUGUGUGACUGCGUACCUUUUGUAUAAUGGGUCAGCGACUUAUAUUCUGUAGCAAGGUUAACCGAAUAGGGGAGCCGGAGGGAAACCGAGUCUUAACCGGGCGUUAAGUUGCAGGGUAUAGACCCGAAACCCGGUGAUCUAGCCAUGGGCAGGUUGAAGGUUGGGUAACACUAACUGGAGGACCGAACCGACUAAUGUUGAAAAAUUAGCGGAUGACCUGUGGCU
RNAcentral lists this ribosomal RNA (784 nucleotides) under Salmonella enterica subsp. enterica serovar Senftenberg. RNAcentral's name for it is "partial 23S ribosomal RNA". It matches the Rfam family "Bacterial large subunit ribosomal RNA", at positions 1 to 816 of the family's 2925-position model. RNAcentral also lists the same sequence under 3 other names. Lineage: Bacteria; Pseudomonadati; Pseudomonadota; Gammaproteobacteria; Enterobacterales; Enterobacteriaceae. The record is from RNAcentral.